CGGGUGGAGUAAUGUCUGGGAAACUGCCUGAUGGAGGGGGAUAACUACUGGAAACGGUAGCUAAUACCGCAUAACGUCGCAAGACCAAAGAGGGGGACCUUAGGGCCUCUUGCCAUCGGAUGUGCCCAGAUGGGAUUAGCUAGUAGGUGGGGUAAUGGCUCACCUAGGCGACGAUCCCUAGCUGGUCUGAGAGGAUGACCAGCCACACUGGAACUGAGACACGGUCCAG
Molecule: ribosomal RNA, 229 nt
Filed under: uncultured bacterium
Lineage: Bacteria
Description: partial 16S ribosomal RNA
Rfam family: Bacterial small subunit ribosomal RNA
Source: RNAcentral